RNAcentral lists this ribosomal RNA (244 nucleotides) under uncultured bacterium. RNAcentral describes it as "partial 16S ribosomal RNA". It matches the Rfam family "Bacterial small subunit ribosomal RNA", at positions 109 to 353 of the family's 1533-position model. The record is from RNAcentral.
AGUAAUGUCUGGGAAACUGCCUGAUGGAGGGGGAGUAACUACUGGAAACGGUAGCUAAUACCGCAUAACGUCGCAAGACCAAAGAGGGGGACCUUCGGGCCUCUUGCCAUCAGAUGUGCCCAGAUGGGAUUAGCUAGUAGGUGGGGUAACGGCUCACCUAGGUGACGAUCCCUAGCUGGUCUGAGAGGAUGACCAGCCACACUGGAACUGAGACACGGUCCAGACUCCUACGGGAGGCAGCAUG